CCUACGGGGGGCAGCAGUGGGGAAUAUUGGACAAUGGGGGGAACCCUGAUCCAGCCAUGCCGCGUGUGUGAAGAAGGCCCUCGGGUUGUAAAGCACUUUCAGUGAGGAAGAACGCCUGGUGGUUAAUACCCAUCAGGAAAGACAUCACUCACAGAAGAAGCACCGGCUAACUCCGUGCCAGCAGCCGCGGUAAUACGGAGGGUGCGAGCGUUAAUCGGAAUUACUGGGCGUAAAGCGCGCGUAGGUGGCUUGAUAAGCCGGUUGUGAAAGCCCCGGGCUCAACCUGGGAACGGCAUCCGGAACUGUCAAGCUAGAGUGCAGGAGAGGAAGGUAGAAUUCCCGGUGUAGCGGUGAAAUGCGUAGAGAUCGGGAGGAAUACCAGUGGCGAAGGCGGCCAUCUGGACUGACACUGACACUGAGGUGCGAAAGCGUGGGUAGCAAACAGGAUUAGAUACCCGUGUAGUC
This 465-nucleotide ribosomal RNA is filed under the name Vreelandella stevensii. RNAcentral's name for it is "partial 16S ribosomal RNA". It matches the Rfam family "Bacterial small subunit ribosomal RNA", at positions 338 to 795 of the family's 1533-position model. Lineage: Bacteria; Pseudomonadati; Pseudomonadota; Gammaproteobacteria; Oceanospirillales; Halomonadaceae. The record is from RNAcentral.